RNAcentral lists this small RNA (267 nucleotides) under Bacillus sp. FJAT-27231. Its description in RNAcentral is "BsrG". It matches the Rfam family "BsrG". Rfam says of the family: bsrE, bsrG and bsrH pair through intermolecular interactions with antisense sRNAs. SR4 interaction with the 3'UTR of bsrG RNA promotes bsrG degradation and inhibits its translation. The record is from Rfam by way of RNAcentral. Lineage: Bacteria; Bacillati; Bacillota; Bacilli; Caryophanales; Bacillaceae.
CACAAUAGAAUAGGGAUUCUCAAGGGUGGUUAGCUCGUCCUCAGAAGAAAGGAGGGGGAGUGCUCGUGACGGUCUUUGAAGCGUUGAUGUUAGCAUGUACUGUUGCAGGCUUAAUCAUAGGAAUGCUGUCAUUUGACCAUAAAAAAUAACCCACCCUUGAGCCUGCAAGCAUAAAGGGUGAGUUAGGUUCGUUUUGAAUAAAUUAUAGCGAUCGCCCUAGCAGGGAACCGUCUAUUGUAUCGACCGCUUGGUGUUCCAGCACCAGCG